UAGGGAAUCUUCCACAAUGGACGAAAGUCUGAUGGAGCAACGCCGCGUGAGUGAAGAAGGUUUUCGGAUCGUAAAGCUCUAUUGUUGGUGAAGAAGGAUAGAGGCAGUAACUGGUCUUUAUUUGACGGUAAUCAACCAGAAAGUCACGGCUAACUACGUGCCAC
RNAcentral lists this ribosomal RNA (164 nucleotides) under uncultured bacterium. Its description in RNAcentral is "partial 16S rRNA". It matches the Rfam family "Bacterial small subunit ribosomal RNA", at positions 355 to 511 of the family's 1533-position model. The record is from RNAcentral.